AUGGAAUUCUUGCUGCAGCCAAUAAACAAAACUCUGCUUGAGGAGGUCAAUGAAAAUAACGGGACAAUGGAGCCCGUGCGGUUCCCUGUGGCCGCGCCGGCGGAGAUUCCUGCUCCUGCUCCGGCCGGUUCAAGUGCGGACGCCCAGAUCUAUCGGCCGGCAGCAUCCUGCGGGGAUAAGGCUCAGGGGUCCGAGCACUCAAUAGAGCAGUUGGACCCAAAGACACCAGGAUGGACGCAAAGGGUGCGUGUAGGUGCUGCUGCUCCAGGAAGGCCUCCUUGUGCGGACAGGAUCACGGCGCUGGAGAAAACCAUUAGAGAGUUUGCGGAUCAUCCAAGAGACAUAGUUAUGGUGCCAAAGAUUGGAACAAGUUUCGACACCCUCGGAGAAGCAUACGACUUUUACAAUUUAUACUCAUGGGAGAAAGGGUUUGGAAUUCGCUACGGAAAGAGUAGGCUGAACGUGAACAGGAGCAAGUGUAUGCAAGAGAUCGUGUGUGGAUGCGCGGGGAAGCCAAUCGUUGAGAGUUCUCGUUCGUGCCAGUGUGAAUGCCCAUCCCUCAUCAGACUAUUCUCGUUCGUGCCAGUGUGA
Molecule: ribosomal RNA, 591 nt
Filed under: Triticum aestivum (bread wheat)
Lineage: Eukaryota; Viridiplantae; Streptophyta; Magnoliopsida; Poales; Poaceae
Description: partial small subunit ribosomal RNA
Source: RNAcentral